Molecule: ribosomal RNA, 429 nt
Filed under: uncultured bacterium
Lineage: Bacteria
Description: bacterial SSU rRNA
Rfam family: Bacterial small subunit ribosomal RNA
Source: RNAcentral
GGACCCGCACAAGCAGUGGAGCAUGUGGUUUAAUUCGACGCAACGCGAAGAACCUUACCAGCGUUUGACAUGGAAAGUGCCGGUUACAGAAUGGUAACCUUCAGUUCGGCUGGCUUUCACACAGGUGCUGCAUGGCUGUCGUCAGCUCGUGUCGUGAGAUGUUGGGUUAAGUCCCGCAACGAGCGCAACCCUUAUCGUUAGUUACUAACAGUUCGGCUGAGGACUCUAGCGAAACUGCCGGUGAUAAGCCGGAGGAAGGUGGGGAUGACGUCAAGUCCUCAUGGCCCUUACACGCUGGGCUACACACGUGCUACAAUGGUAACUACAACGGGACGCAAUACCGCGAGGUGGAGCUAAUCCCCAAAAGUUAUCUCAGUUCGGAUUGCACUCUGCAACUCGAGUGCAUGAAGUUGGAAUUGCUAGUAAUCG